CUUAUUUUGGCAGAUUAGUGCACUAAAUUUAGGAUUUAGACAAAUAGAUUUUCUAUAAAUAAGA
This 64-nucleotide transfer RNA is filed under the name Columbicola columbae (slender pigeon louse). RNAcentral's name for it is "tRNA-Leu". The record is from RNAcentral. Lineage: Eukaryota; Metazoa; Arthropoda; Insecta; Psocodea; Philopteridae.